RNAcentral lists this ribosomal RNA (420 nucleotides) under Gnetum montanum. RNAcentral describes it as "eukaryotic LSU rRNA". The stretch from base 1 to 85 matches the Rfam family "5.8S ribosomal RNA", at positions 70 to 154 of the family's 154-position model. Lineage: Eukaryota; Viridiplantae; Streptophyta; Gnetopsida; Gnetales; Gnetaceae. The record is from RNAcentral.
AAUUGCAGAAUCCCGUGAAUCAUCGAAUAUUUGAACGCAAGUUGCGCCCGAGGCCUAGGUCGAGGGCACGUCUGGCUGGGUGUGAUGAAAGAUCGUAGGGCGCGCCCUCUUCGCCCCGUGCGAGGGGGCAGCGGAUGUGGUCGUCCGUGUCUCCCGAGGUGCGGUCGGCUGAAAAGUUGCCGUCGAUCGUGUUUUCUGGCUUCUACCCGGACGGAGCGAUGGAUGGUGGUGGUGGUCUGUGCGUUCCCUGCGCUGAGCGCGCACGAGGUACGUUGGCCCCCUCCCCGCCCUUCUCCUUCGGUGCGAUGCGGGACCGAGCGACCGGCGGGGGCGAUGUUCCUCCUUUGCGUCGCGCAUGGGAGGGGUGAUGCUCCCUCUUCGCAGUGACCCCAGUUCAGGCGAGGGUACCCGCCGAGUUUA